GAUGAACGUUGGCGGUGCGUCUUAGACAUGCAAGUCGAGCGAGAAAGUCCCGCAAGGGGCGAGUAAAGCGGCGAACGGGUGAGUAAUACUUGGGUAACGUGCCUCCGAGAUCGGGACAACAGACCGAAAGGUUUGCUAAUACCGGAUAAGACCACGUCCUCCACGGGGGAUGAGGUCAAAGAUGGCGCAAGCUAUCACUUGGAGAUCGGCUCAAGCACCAUUUAGCUAGUUGGCGGGGUAACGGCCCACCAAGGCUACGAUGGUUAGCCGACCUGAGAGGGUGAUCGGCCACACUGGGACUGAGAUACGGCCCAGACUCCUACGGGUGGCUG
Molecule: ribosomal RNA, 332 nt
Filed under: uncultured Nitrospirota bacterium
Lineage: Bacteria; Pseudomonadati; Nitrospirota
Description: bacterial SSU rRNA
Rfam family: Bacterial small subunit ribosomal RNA
Source: RNAcentral